This 693-nucleotide transfer RNA is filed under the name uncultured cyanobacterium. RNAcentral describes it as "partial 16S-23S ribosomal RNA intergenic spacer". The stretch from base 250 to 322 matches the Rfam family "tRNA". Lineage: Bacteria; Bacillati; Cyanobacteriota. The record is from RNAcentral.
CAGGGAGACAAACAUUGAUCAUGAUGCUUGGGUAUAUAUUUUCUUAAGCCAUGAUCCUGUCACCUUAGGUCGAUCGGUACCUCAGGUCUAUUUUUAAUCUUUUUUAGAUUAAGAAUAGAUUUCAGUUCCUAAACUUGUCUAGGUCACACCCCGCAAGGGUACUCCUGGGCCAUUAGCUCAGGUGGUUAGAGCGCACCCCUGAUAAGGGUGAGGUCCCUGGUUCAAGUCCAGGAUGGCCCAUUCGGUGUUGGGGGUAUAGCUCAGUUGGUAGAGCGCCUGCUUUGCAAGCAGGAUGUCAGCGGUUCGAGUCCGCUUACCUCCACUGAUCGAUUAAUAGCUUUAGCCUAAUGAAGAUAACCUUGUUAGAUGUGACUUAGAUGAUAGUUAGCUGAAUGAAUCUAGCUUCUUAUCACUCCUAAGAUAAAUAAUUAGAUUAGGCUGAUAUGACGCUGGACUCACUGUUGUUUUAUAAAUAACAGAGACUUCAGCAGAACCUUGACAACUGCAUAUGUGAGUCUGGAAAGAAUAAAGCAUCUCAUGGAUGCAUUUUUCUAGCAAUUUUUAAUAAAUUGCUAUGAAGAAUGUUUAAUUCUUGAGUUUAAGAGACGAGUCUCUGCAUUUAUUUAACUUUAAUGAUUAGUUUUAAUCAAAUCGAUUUUAUCUAGUUAUUAAAUAAUAAUGUGGAGAAUAAAU